RNAcentral lists this ribosomal RNA (714 nucleotides) under Vibrio vulnificus. RNAcentral describes it as "partial 23S ribosomal RNA". It matches the Rfam family "Bacterial large subunit ribosomal RNA", at positions 2217 to 2925 of the family's 2925-position model. Lineage: Bacteria; Pseudomonadati; Pseudomonadota; Gammaproteobacteria; Vibrionales; Vibrionaceae. The record is from RNAcentral.
AUGUUCUAACGUUGGCCCCUAAUCGGGGUUGCGGACAGUGCCUGGUGGGUAGUUUGACUGGGGCGGUCUCCUCCCAAAGAGUAACGGAGGAGCACGAAGGUGGGCUAAUCACGGUUGGACAUCGUGAGGUUAGUGCAAUGGCAUAAGCCCGCUUAACUGCGAGAAUGACGGUUCGAGCAGGUGCGAAAGCAGGUCAUAGUGAUCCGGUGGUUCUGAAUGGAAGGGCCAUCGCUCAACGGAUAAAAGGUACUCCGGGGAUAACAGGCUGAUACCGCCCAAGAGUUCAUAUCGACGGCGGUGUUUGGCACCUCGAUGUCGGCUCAUCACAUCCUGGGGCUGAAGUCGGUCCCAAGGGUAUGGCUGUUCGCCAUUUAAAGUGGUACGCGAGCUGGGUUUAGAACGUCGUGAGACAGUUCGGUCCCUAUCUGCCGUGGGCGUUGGAAGAUUGAAGGGGGCUGCUCCUAGUACGAGAGGACCGGAGUGGACGAACCUCUGGUGUUCGGGUUGUGUCGCCAGACGCAUUGCCCGGUAGCUAAGUUCGGAAUCGAUAACCGCUGAAAGCAUCUAAGCGGGAAGCGAGCCCUGAGAUGAGUCUUCCCUGAUACUUUAAGUAUCCUGAAGGGUUGUUCGAGACUAGAACGUUGAUAGGCAGGGUGUGUAAGCGCUGUGAGGCGUUGAGCUAACCUGUACUAAUUGCCCGUGAGGCUUAACCAU